UAGGGAAUCUUCGGCAAUGGGGGGAACCCUGACCGAGCAACGCCGCGUGAGUGAAGAAGGUUUUCGGAUCGUAAAGCUCUGUUGUUAAGGAAGAACGAGUGUGAGAAUGGAAAGUUCAUACUGUGACGGUACUUAACCAGAAAGGGACGGCUAACUACGUGCCAGCAGCCGCGGUAAUACGUAGGUCCCGAGCGUUGUCCGGAUUUAUUGGGCGUAAAGCGAGCGCAGGCGGUUAGAUAAGUCUGAAGUUAAAGGCAGUGGCUCAACCAUUGUAGGCUUUGGAAACUGUUUAACGUGAGUGCAGAAGGGGAGAGUGGAAUUCCAUGUGUAGCGGUGAAAUGCGUAGAUAUAUGGAGGAACACCGGUGGCGAAAGCGGCUCUCUGGUCUGUAACUGACGCUGAGGAUCGAAAGCGUGGGGAGCGAACAGG
Molecule: ribosomal RNA, 429 nt
Filed under: Bacteroidota bacterium
Lineage: Bacteria; Pseudomonadati; Bacteroidota
Description: Bacteroidetes bacterium partial 16S ribosomal RNA
Rfam family: Bacterial small subunit ribosomal RNA
Source: RNAcentral